UACGUAGGGUGCGAGCGUUAAUCGGAAUUACUGGGCGUAAAGCGUGCGCAGGCGGUUUUGUAAGCCAGAUGUGAAAUCCCCGGGCUUAACCUGGGAAUGGCAUUUGGGACUGCAAGGCUUGAGUGCGGCAGAGGGGACUGGAAUUCCUGGUGCAGCAGUGAAAUGCGUAGAGAUCAGGAGGAAUACCGAUGGCGAAGGCAGCCCCCUGGGCUGACACUGACGCUCAGGCACGAAAGCGUGGGGAGCAAACAGG
This 253-nucleotide ribosomal RNA is filed under the name uncultured bacterium. RNAcentral's name for it is "partial 16S ribosomal RNA". It matches the Rfam family "Bacterial small subunit ribosomal RNA", at positions 524 to 776 of the family's 1533-position model. The record is from RNAcentral.